This 1023-nucleotide ribosomal RNA is filed under the name Mucor flavus. Its description in RNAcentral is "LSU rRNA". It matches the Rfam family "Eukaryotic large subunit ribosomal RNA", at positions 38 to 963 of the family's 3401-position model. Lineage: Eukaryota; Fungi; Mucoromycota; Mucoromycetes; Mucorales; Mucoraceae. The record is from RNAcentral.
GCAAUCAUAGCGGAGGAAAAGAAAUACCAAUGAUUUCCCUAGUAACGGCGAGUGAAGAGGAAAGAGCUCAAAGUUGGAAACCUGUUUGGCUUAGCCAAACCGGGAUUGUAAACUGUAGAAGUGUUUUCCAGACACGCCUGGUAAAAAAGUCCUUUGGAACAGGGCAUCAUAGAGGGUGAGAAUCCCGUCUUUGGCCAGAGCUGUUGUCUUUUGUGAUACAUUUUCAAAGAGUCAGGUUGUUUGGGAAUGCAGCCUAAAUUGGGUGGUAAAUCUCACCUAAAGCUAAAUAUUUGCGAGAGACCGAUAGCGAACAAGUACCGUGAGGGAAAGAUGAAAAGAACUUUGAAAAGAGAGUUAAACAGUAUGUGAAAUUGUUAAAAGGGAACCGUUUGGAGCCAGACUGGCUUGACUGUAAUCAAUCUAGGCUUCGGCCUGGAUGCACUUGCGGUUUAUGCCUGCCAACGACAAUUUUUUUUGAGGGAAAAAACUAUUAGGAAUGUGGCCCUUCCUCGGAGGGGUGUUAUAGCCUUUUAGAAAAUACCUUGAAUUGGAUUGAGGAACGCAGUGAAUGCCUUUAGGCAAGAUUGCUAGGCGCUUUCGCUAAUAAAUGCUAGAAUUUCUGCUUCGGGUGGUGCUAGUGUUUAAAGGAGAAACUCGCUUGGUAUAUUUUUUAUUCGCUUAGGUUGUUGGCUUAAUGACUCUAAAUGACCCGUCUUGAAACACGGACCAAGGAGUCCACCAUUAGUGCGAGUAUUUGGGUGCCAAACCCAUAUGCGUAAGGAAACUGAUUGAUACGAAAUCUUUAAGAUGGCAGUAUCACCCGGCGAAGACGUUUUAUACUGAACCGACCGAGGUAAAGCACUAAUGAUGGGACCCGAAAGAUGGUGAACUAUGCCUGAAUAGGGUGAAGCCGGAGGAAACUCCGGUGGGAGGCUCGUAGCGAUUCUGACGUGCAAAUCGAUCGUCAAAUUUGGGUAUAGGGGCGAAGACUAAUCGAAACCAUCUAGUAGCUGGUUCUGCGAG